UCACACUAGAUUUGAGGCUCCACCCACCGCAGAGAAGCUCCGCCCCUGCCCCUGGGGAGGGCGCUCCCUGGGUCUUGAAGCCGGGUUUCCUGCGUGGGACCGCCCCCGAGCUACUCAUGGCCCCGCAGAGGCAACCACACAAGAUAGCAGGGUCUCUGGGAACUGGGCUUUGAUUCCUGCCGUGGUGGAAGCCUCUCGAGGGAGCAUAACUUGACUUGAUUUACGUUUUAAAAUUAACAACCUCUCUAGCUGCCCUGUGAAGGCGGGGGGGGGGGGGGGGCUGUUAGCUGAAGGGGCGGCAAGAAGACAAGCCAGGACAGUACGGAGAGCCGGAGACGACCGGGUGGGGGUCGCCCAUCACAGUGAAUCCACAUGAGCUGGCACAUACUAAAAGAUUUCUCCAAGAUAAUCAUGAAGAAGUGAAAUGACUGGAUCAAAAAGACAACAUAGGAACCAGCAUUGUGGUGUAGUGGGCUAAGCCUCCUGCAGCGCCAGCAUCCCAAAGGGGCGAUGGUUUGAGUCCCGACUGCUCCACUUCUAAUCCAGCUCCCUGUUACUGCACCUGGAAUAACAGAAGAUGGCCCGAGUCCUUGGGCCCCUGCACCCACGUGGGAGACCCAGAAGAAACUCCUGGCUCCUGGCUUCAGAUCAGCGCAGCUCCAGCCAUUGUGGCCAAUUGGGGAUGGAAGGCCUCUCUCUCUGUCUCUCCCUCUCUCUGUCUGUAACUUUACCUCUCAAAUAAAUAAAUAAAUCUUUUUUAAAAAGACAACAUAUUUUGAAAUUUUAAUACACAAUGCUUAGUUGUCAUGUAGAAAAAUUAUUACAGUUUACACACCUCUGCCCCAGCGGUGAAUAACUACUUCCCUAAAUGCUUACCUACACUGGAUAGUAACCAUUUUAAUAUUUUGACAAUGUAAUGGUUGAAAGAAAUGCCUCAUUAUUUGCAUUUCCCUAAUUAUUAGCAAGGCUAAUAAAUAUUUUCUUAUGUUUGU
Molecule: non-coding RNA, 992 nt
Organism: Oryctolagus cuniculus (rabbit)
Lineage: Eukaryota; Metazoa; Chordata; Mammalia; Lagomorpha; Leporidae
Source: RefSeq, a predicted model, not a curated record